GAGUUUGAUCAUGGCUCAGAGUGAACGCUGGCGGCAGGCCUAACACAUGCAAGUCGAACGGCAGCACAGUCCCGCAAGGGAUGGGUGGCGAGUGGCGGACGGGUGAGGAAUACAUCGGAAUCUACCUUGUCGUGGGGGAUAACGUAGGGAAACUUACGCUAAUACCGCAUACGACCUACGGGUGAAAGCGGCGGACCGCAAGGCGUCGCGCGAUUGGAUGAGCCGAUGUCCGAUUAGCUAGUUGGCGGGGUAAUGGCCCACCAAGGCGACGAUCCGUAGCUGGUUUGAGAGAACGACCAGCCACACUGGGACUGAGACACGGCCCAGACUCCUACGGGAGGCAGCAGUGGGGAAUUUUUGGACAAUGGGGGCAACCCUGAUCCAGCCAUGCCGCGUGUGUGAAGAAGGCCUCGGUUGUAAGU
This 422-nucleotide ribosomal RNA is filed under the name uncultured Gammaproteobacteria bacterium. Its description in RNAcentral is "bacterial SSU rRNA". It matches the Rfam family "Bacterial small subunit ribosomal RNA", at positions 9 to 430 of the family's 1533-position model. Lineage: Bacteria; Pseudomonadati; Pseudomonadota; Gammaproteobacteria. The record is from RNAcentral.